GACCAAUCUCUCAUUCCAUCUUCUAGGGAACCUUAGCCAACUGUUUGGUGGUUUCAUGUGUUUGAAACUACAUGGUUUCUAAAUUUGCAUGACAGACUUUAAGAAAAGUCAUGUUGAAGAAAAAGGACUGAGGACUGACUCUGACUGACAGUCAACAAGCUACCUGUUGGCUGCUUCCCUGGAAUCUCCCUUUUUACUUCCUUAAGCUUGAUUUGAGGGUAAAUCCUGCGCUACUUAUCAUGGACUUCAUCCAUUGGGGAUGCUAUAAUUCAAGAGAAUGCUGUCAUUCAAGACUGAUAAAUUGUGUAGUUGUUAGAUAAAACAAGUGCAGUCAGUUAAGGCAGUGUCUCCUCCUGUCUUGAUUGACUGUGUGUGCGAGUUUCAAAAGCAGUUUAUCACCCAAAUGAGACAAAAGGAGUAUGUCUGUUUGUUUAUUUGGGUAUAAAUUGCUUUAAAAUUUGCACAGAAAAAUAUUUGGG
RNAcentral lists this long non-coding RNA (479 nucleotides) under Daphnia pulex (common water flea). RNAcentral's name for it is "uncharacterized LOC124194563". Lineage: Eukaryota; Metazoa; Arthropoda; Branchiopoda; Diplostraca; Daphniidae. The record is from RNAcentral.